Long non-coding RNA from Equus asinus (donkey), 1067 nucleotides. The record is from Ensembl. Lineage: Eukaryota; Metazoa; Chordata; Mammalia; Perissodactyla; Equidae.
AGUGACCCUCGACCCGUCCGUCCGUCGGGCUAGCGAGACCAGCCCGCCGCGGAGGAGACAGAGCAGGGAGCUACAGGAGGCCGUUCCGGGAAAACGCCACGGGCAAGCAGGAGUUGAUCAUCAGAUCUUGUAAGAAAAUUAACGGAAAAAAAUGCCUCUCGGCUCUGUGGAGUCAGACUUUCUGCGGUGGCUCCUGGACCUUUAGCAAACCUCGACUAUGGAACAGUACUUGGACUGGAGCACCAGCUCUUCCUGGGUCUUGAGUCUGCCGGCCUUGGCCUUCGCCCUUGAACUACACUAGCAGCUCUCCUGGUUCUCAGGUCUUCAGACUCCAAUGGAACUAAAUCAUCAGCCCUCCUGGGUCUCCAGCUUGCCAACUCAUCCUGCAGAUCUUGAGAUGCCGUAAUCACAUGAGCCAAUUCUUUAUAAAAGAAGUGAUGAAACUGGCCCACAGAAGAGGUCGCUGAGAUGUGUGGUCAUCAGGCUAAGGGGCUCUGGGAUGGGCAUUCCCCCACCCCAACCCCUGGCUGUCCCCUUCCUCAGUCCGAGGGAAGGGUCUCCCCUUCAACCAGCUCAGAGUUCAGCUUAGUUCUUGACUCGGGUCUCAUCUCCAGGGGCUGUGGAUCACAGUGCUGGGUCCUUGGCCGUGGUGAGUUCCAGUGCUGGAGCUAGGGCCUGGCAGGACUGAGGACGAAGUAAAGCUCUACCUCUCAGAAGUGACGGCCUCAACAAGACUUACCCUCGAAGCUGUGCUGCUGAGGACACGUGGCACAGGGGUUGCACGGUCAGCUUUUAAUGCAAUGUGCGGUGAUGCAGAUCCUGUCCCUGGACAACCUUUUUUUGAGGCGACUAUCCUGCUACCCUCUACGUUUCGGUUUGCCUUCACUGGUUCUCUAACUUUCUGAGUCUUUGUUUUAGUCAAGUGUGUAAAUAUCAGGAUCUGGUAAGAGAUGCUUCCUACUCUCCCCUCCCCUGCAGGCCCCUUCUCCUCCCCUCCCUCAAUGAAAAGUGACAGUCAGGGCUGGUGUCUGCCUGGCUUAAUAUGAAUGCUGAGACUUGUAAAAUCA